ACCCAAUAGAUACCCGGGUAGUCCACGCUGUAAACGAUGUGUGCUAGACGUCGGGAGGCUUGCCUCUCGGUGUCGAAAGCUAAACGCGAUAAGCACACCGCCUGGGGAGUACGGCCGCAAGGUUAAAACUCAAAGGAAUUGACGGGGCCCGGCACAAGCGGUGGAGCAUGUGGUUUAAAUUUACGAAGCAACGACGCAGAACCUUACCAGCCCUUCGACAUGGGGAGUAUGGGCCGUGAGAGAUCGGGUUCCGUUCUAGUUCGGUCGUGGCGUCCCACCACAGGUGGCUGCAUGGCUGUCGUCAGCUCGUGUCGUGAGAUGUUGGGUUAAGUU
This 333-nucleotide ribosomal RNA is filed under the name uncultured bacterium. RNAcentral's name for it is "bacterial SSU rRNA". It matches the Rfam family "Bacterial small subunit ribosomal RNA", at positions 772 to 1086 of the family's 1533-position model. The record is from RNAcentral.